Molecule: ribosomal RNA, 254 nt
Filed under: uncultured bacterium
Lineage: Bacteria
Description: partial 16S ribosomal RNA
Rfam family: Bacterial small subunit ribosomal RNA
Source: RNAcentral
UACAGAGGGGGCAAGCGUUGUUCGGAAUUACUGGGCGUAAAGGGCGCGUAGGCGGCCCGCUAAGUCGAACGUGAAAUCCCCGGGCUCAACCCGGGAACUGCGUCCGAUACUGGUGGGCUUGAAUUCGGGAGAGGGAUGCGGAAUUCCAGGUGUAGCGGUGAAAUGCGUAGAUAUCUGGAGGAACACCGGUGGCGAAGGCGGCUCUCUGGACCUGUCCUGACGCUCAGGCGCGAAAGCUAGGGGAGCAAACAGGG